UGGGGAAUAUUGGACAAUGGGCGCAAGCCUGAUCCAGCCAUGCCGCGUGAGUGAUGAAGGCCUUAGGGUUGUAAAGCUCUUUCUCCGGUGAAGAUAAUGACGGUAACCGGAGAAGAAGCCCCGGCUAACUUCGUGCCAGCAGCCGCGGUAAUACGAAGGGGGCUAGCGUUGCUCGGAAUCACUGGGCGUAAAGCGCACGUAGGCGGAUCGUUAAGUCAGGGGUGAAAUCCUGGAGCUCAACUCCAGAACUGCCCUUGAUACUGGCGAUCUCGAGUUCGAGAGAGGUUGGUGGAACUCCGAGUGUAGAGGUGAAAUUCGUAGAUAUUCGGAAGAACACCAGUGGCGAAGGCGGCCAACUGGCUCGAUACUGACGCUGAGGUGCGAAAGCGUGGGGAGCAAAACAGGAUUAGAUACCCUGGUAGUCCACGCCGUAAAACGAUGGAUGCUAGCCGUUGGGGGGUUUGACCUCUCAGUGGCGCAGCUAACGCCUUAAGCAUCCCGCCUGGGGAGUACGGUCGCAAGAUUAAAAACUCAAAUGAAUUGACGGGGUCAUAGCUG
RNAcentral lists this ribosomal RNA (558 nucleotides) under uncultured bacterium. RNAcentral describes it as "partial 16S ribosomal RNA". It matches the Rfam family "Bacterial small subunit ribosomal RNA", at positions 355 to 932 of the family's 1533-position model. The record is from RNAcentral.